GCUGUGAUCUGUAACUGACACCUCUCCAGGUCUGCCCUGCUCCCCUUGCCUGGACACUGUGGGAUGGCCCAUGGCUCCUGGCUCCCUGUUCCUUACUGACCAAAGGGUCCUUCCUGCUCCCUAGGCACUCUAUGCUGACUGAAUCCAGACAAGCGGGAGAGCCUAUCGGAUUGACUAGACUAAAGGUAAUUGAAGAAGGACAACUCUGUCUGCACAUUCCAACCCCUCAGUAUUGGUAGCUUGUCACUGACAAAAACCAUCCUGGAUUCUAUGUCUGUAAUCAAGAUUCUGGUUGGAUUUCCAAAAAGGAGGAGAGGAAGUAGAGAGGAAACAAAGCUACAUUGUGAUAAAAUAAAGAACUGAGUGCCUGCACUUCUGGAAU
Molecule: long non-coding RNA, 382 nt
Organism: Serinus canaria (Common canary)
Lineage: Eukaryota; Metazoa; Chordata; Aves; Passeriformes; Fringillidae
Exons: 3
Source: RefSeq, a predicted model, not a curated record